AACGGGUUAAUAUUCCCGUACCGUUUUUUAUUGAUAUCGAGGGACGGAGAAGGCUAAGCUAGCCGGAUAUUGGUUUUACCGGUUUAAGCGUUCAAGAUGUUGAGAAGCGGCGAAAACGCUUUGAGUUGAGACGUGAGUACGAGACGCUAAGGCGUCGAAGUAGUGGAUGUCAUACUUCCAAGAAAAGCUUGCACUGUCAUAAAUAAAAAACGCCUGUACCAUAACCGACACAGGUGGGUAGGUAGAGUAUACUAAGGGGCGCGAGAUAACUCUCUCUAAG
Molecule: ribosomal RNA, 280 nt
Filed under: Guillardia theta
Lineage: Eukaryota; Cryptophyceae; Pyrenomonadales; Geminigeraceae
Description: partial Bacterial large subunit ribosomal RNA
Rfam family: Bacterial large subunit ribosomal RNA
Source: RNAcentral